GUUAAUGCUGGAAGAAGAUAGGAAAGGCAGUAGAGGAGAGCGGCGCGUAGACAAUAGGAUCGUCUGCGAUGUCAGUAGGUUACAGAGGAGCAACAACAGCCUAGGUUUCAAGAGGAGGAGGAGCAGUAACAAACUCAGGAGUCUUAGGAUCAGAACGAACAUCAGGGCAGGUAUCCCAAGUAUCCUCUUCAGUUAGCUGACAUCAUUGCUUAGGCUAUAGCAGCAAGCGUAACAACUGUACUUUAGAAUCAGCCACAGUUUCAGCAGGCACCUGUGCCAAUACCGAUAGUUCAGGCUAACCCUUGGGAGAAGGCUAGGAAUUCUUUCACAAAGGGGAGCCCAUCUGAGUUCUCAGGCUCCACCGAUGUGAGUGUGGCUCAUCAGUGGAAGAAAGAUAUAGAGCGUCAUCUUCACAUGGUUAAGUACACAGAGGUUCAGAAACAAAUACUUGCUACCUUCAAGCUUGUCAGAGAUGAACUCCAGCCUUGGAAGAAGCACAAGAAUGAUUCAAAUGUUCAGAGAAAUAGGGCACCUAUUCAGAGGCAGCAGAAUAGGGCACUACAAUCAGUACAGGGUCAACCUCAGGGUAACUAGCAGAAGAAACAGUUUGCACUUUUAGAGGCUUUUGUUAUGGUUAUGGAAAGCUCGGGCACACAUCUAAGAGGUGUCCCAAGGCUAUGUAGGGAUAUCAUAUGCAGCAGGGGCAGCGAACCACCAUUUCCCUUAACUGUUCCACAGGUGCCACGCAUUCAGGGAUAGGUGUUCCCGGCUUUAACAGCACCACCACCACCACGGGGACAGGCACCGCAGUAGUUGCAUUAUGGCAGGGUGUAUAAUCACAUGCCAAAGGACGUUCAGAUUCUUCAGGCUAUUAAGGGUACAUGAUUCAAGAUUCGGAAAUUUGCACUUCCUUGGGGGAUUUGGAGAUUUGAAGUUUCUUUUAAAGCAUUCUUGUUCACAUGCAAGUGUUAGCAUGUUUAAGUUUCACUUUUAAUGUUGUAAUAUUUAGUUAAGUUCAAUUAUGUUAUUUUUUCCUUAUAACAUGUAAAGUGUACUUGGAUACACUAUUUGGAACCUAAUUGAUAUGUAUGACAUGAGGCUAAGGGCCAUAAACUUCAA
Cornus florida is the source of this 1119-nucleotide long non-coding RNA. RefSeq lists it as uncharacterized. Lineage: Eukaryota; Viridiplantae; Streptophyta; Magnoliopsida; Cornales; Cornaceae. The record is from RefSeq and is a predicted model, not a curated record. The transcript is spliced from 2 exons.